CGGCGAAAGCAAACCAUGCGAUUAUCUGAGGACAGCGCCCAGCACACAAAUGCAUAACAAAUCAUUUUCAACCAGGGAGUUGCGACACGAAAGUCAGAAAUAGUAAUAUAAUAUAUGCCUUACCUUUGAAGAUCUUCUUCUGUUGGCACUCCAAAAGGUCCAAGUUACAUUACAAAUGGUCUUUUUGUUCAAUAAAGUCCUUCUUUAUAUCCAUAAAAACUCAGUUUAGCUGGUGAGCUUCAGUCAAUAAUCCACUCGGUUUCCCUCCUUCAAAAUGCAUACAAAAUGAAUCCCAAACGUUACCAAUAAACUUAUCCAAACAAGUCAAUCAAGGUUUAUAAUCAAUCCUUAGGUACCCUAAUAUGCAAAUAAACAAUACAAUUUAAGACGGAGAAUCGUUAUUGUCUUUACCGGAGAUAAACAAAAAGAAUGCGCUCUCUCGGCCAUGCGUUUGGAAACACUACAGCCAAAAUGGGAGCCACUUAGAAAAACUACAACUUCUCCCUCAUUUUUCCAAAAAACAGCCUGAAACUCUUUCUCAAGACUGUUGACAUCUAGUGGAAGCCCUAGGAACUGCAAUCGGGGACGAUUUCGCCCUAUUAUUAAAGUGCCAAUAUUUUUUUGUUGUUGAUUGUUUAUACUCAGGGUUUCGCCUGCCAUUUCAGUUCUGUUAUACUCACAGACAUUAUUUUAACAAUUUUAGAAACUUGAGAAUGUUUCUAUCCAAAUCUACCAAUUAUAUGCAUAUCCUAGCUUCUGGGCCUGAGUAGCAGGCAGUUUACUUUGGGCACGCUUUUCACCCAGACGUCAAAAUAUCGCUUAAGUGCAGACCUCAGGACCUCGGUUAAGACAGAAUGCGGCCUGCUGGGCAACAUGAGUUUAACACCCUUGAACUAGAUGUACAACAAAGCAGGAAAGCUCAAGGAACGGACAUGGUAUGUUAGGAAAGGUCAUGGUAUGUUAGGAACGGUCAUGAUAUGUUAGGAACGGUCAUGGUAUGUUAGGAACGGUCAUGGUAUGUUAGGAACGUCAAGAUAUGUUAGGAACGGACAUGGUAUGUUAGGAACGGUCAUGGUAUGUUAGGAACGGUCAUGGUAUGUUAGGAACGUCAAGAUAUGUUAGAACGGUCGUGGUAUGUUAGGAACGGUCAUGGUAUGUUAGGAACGGUCAUGGUAUGUUAGGAACGGUCAUGGUAUGUUAGGAACGGUCAUGGUAUGUUAGGAACGGUCAUGGUAUGUUAGGAACGGUCAUGGUAUGUUAGGAACGGGCAUGAUAUGUUAGGAACGGUCAUGAAAUGUUAGGAACGGUCAUGAUAUGUUAGGAACGGACAUGGUAUGUUAGGAACGGUCAUGAAAUGUUAGGAACGGUCAUGGUAUGUUAGGAACGGUCAUGGUAUGUUAGGAACGGUCAUGGUAUGUUAGGAACGGUCAUGGUAUGUUAGGAACGGACAUGGUAUGUUAGGAACGGUCAUGGUAUGUUAGGAACGGACAUGGUAUGUUAGGAACGGACAUGGUAUGUUAGGAACGGUCAUGGUAUGUUAGGAACGGUCAUGGUAUGUUAGGAACGGUCAUGGUAUGUUAGGAACGGACAUGAUAUGUUAGGAACGGACAUGGUAUGUUAGGAACGGACAUGGUAUGUUAGGAACGGUCAUGGUAUGUUAGGAACGGUCAUGGUAUGUUAGAACGGUCAUGGUAUGUUAGGAACGGUCAUGGUAUGUUAGGAACGGUCAUGGUAUGUUAGGAACGGUCAUGGUAUGUUAGGAACGGUCAUGGUAUGUUAGGAACGGUCAUGGUAUGUUAGGAACGGUCAUGGUAUGUUAGGAACGGACAUGGUAUGUUAGGAACGGUCAUGGUAUGUUAGGAACGGUCAUGGUAUGAUAGGUCAUGGUAUGAUAGG
Molecule: long non-coding RNA, 1896 nt
Filed under: Salmo salar (Atlantic salmon)
Lineage: Eukaryota; Metazoa; Chordata; Actinopteri; Salmoniformes; Salmonidae
Description: lncRNA (ENSSSAG00000089955.1)
Source: RNAcentral